GCCCGGCUAGCUCAGUUGGUAGAGCAUUCGACUCUUAUGAAGGGUUUCAGAUUAUCUGUCUGCCAUCGAAUUGUCGUGGGUUCGAGCCCCAUGUUGGGCG
RNAcentral lists this transfer RNA (100 nucleotides) under Puccinia graminis f. sp. tritici. RNAcentral describes it as "tRNA-Lys". It matches the Rfam family "tRNA". From Rfam's summary of the family: Transfer RNA (tRNA) molecules are approximately 80 nucleotides in length. The record is from RNAcentral. Lineage: Eukaryota; Fungi; Basidiomycota; Pucciniomycetes; Pucciniales; Pucciniaceae.